RNAcentral lists this ribosomal RNA (408 nucleotides) under uncultured bacterium. RNAcentral's name for it is "partial 16S ribosomal RNA". It matches the Rfam family "Bacterial small subunit ribosomal RNA", at positions 28 to 526 of the family's 1533-position model. The record is from RNAcentral.
GACGAACGCUGGCGGCGUGCUUAACACAUGCAAGUCGAACGAAGUGGCGAACGGGUGAGUAACGCGUAAUCAACCUGCCCUUCAGAGGGGGACAACAGUUGGAAACGACUGCUAAUACCGCAUACUGAAGGCGUGGAUUGCGUCUGAUUAGCUAGUUGGAGGGGUAACGGCCCACCAAGGCGAUGAUCAGUAGCCGGACUGGGAGGAUGAACGGCCCAAUCGGGACUGAGAAACGGCUCAGACUCCUACGGGAAGCAGCAGUGGGGAAUCUUCCGGAAGUGACGAAAGUCUGACGGAGCAAAGGCGGGUGAGUGAUGACGGCUUUCGGGUUGUAAAGCCCUGGUAAUCGGGGCGCGGUACCGAAAUAGAAAGCCACGGCUAACUACGUGCCAGCAGCCGCGGUAAUUC